Long non-coding RNA from Telopea speciosissima, 514 nucleotides. RefSeq lists it as uncharacterized. The transcript is spliced from 3 exons. Lineage: Eukaryota; Viridiplantae; Streptophyta; Magnoliopsida; Proteales; Proteaceae. The record is from RefSeq and is a predicted model, not a curated record.
UUGACAUUGUUGUUGCAUUGUAUACUGUAAAUCUGGUGGUUUUGCUUCGUGGAUAAGAAAUUGGCAGAACUCCCCGAUAAGACCAAUGCUUCAUUAUCUCCUUUGCUUCCGUUGAGUGGUAAAGACAAGGCAAGCACAACUAAACCAGAGCACCAUGUCCUCUUGAAUGGAAAUUCUGGGGAUUCUGCAGAUUGGGUAUGAUAUCUAUAAAUAGUCUUCCCCCCUCACAUUUCUUACCAACCCAGCCCAAACACGCUGGUUUGCUGACAUUGACAUUGGUGAAUUCUGUUGGUCCAGAGACAGAACACAAGUCAAUGGCAAGAUUUUAGAUGAUGGAAAUGCAGUCCAUGCAGAUUCGGCUAUGAAUGGUAAAUAGUGGUUUUGCUGAGCUGAGUUGGCUGAUGUUAUCAGGACUGAUAUUUAAAACCAUGCAACCUCAACUUUGUGGACUGGUUUAGAUGUGGUAGACUUUGAUCUGUAUUCUAGUGGAAAUGGAAGUUUGAGUUCUUGUUAA